CAUGCACAGUGGGGUCCCUCGGCCUGGCCUGUGCCCUCUCGCAAUCCAGGACCCCUCAGGGGAUGUUGGAGAGGUGGUUUCAGCCCAAUCCCGCAGGCCAGGCUGAGGGACCCCACUGGUGCACG
RNAcentral lists this microRNA precursor (125 nucleotides) under Myotis lucifugus (little brown bat). RNAcentral describes it as "mir-9193 microRNA precursor family". It matches the Rfam family "mir-9193 microRNA precursor family". Lineage: Eukaryota; Metazoa; Chordata; Mammalia; Chiroptera; Vespertilionidae. The record is from Rfam by way of RNAcentral.